CGAUUCGGUUGACCGUUUUAUGUGUGGAUUAAUUGUCGGAGUAGAGGACCUUGUGCAUUUCAGAGGGGGCUACUUGCUAUAGCAGCUUCAUUCACUCUUCUUCUACUAACUACUUGCUCGCACUAGUUUGAGAGAAAACUGCUGUGGAAAACUCGGCCAGAAGCUAGUAAGUGUCAAAGUGAAUCCAAAACAUCACCACAAACGUCUUCAAGCCAGAGUGGAGAGGAGGAAGACUGGAUAGGAAGAAGAGUGAAAGAGAUAGAGGAGGAAAGGUAAAGAUAUGAUUACAGAGCCCGAAAAUGUAUUAUUCCAAACAAUGUUUUUGAGAUGAAAUACAGAAAUGAUGCAAGCAAUGGGAAUCUGUUAACCAAAGUAUUUGAUCUAAUAGUGUAUUAUUUAUUAUUACAGAUUGGAGAGGAAGGAGAAGGAACAAUUAAGGGAGUAAAAAAAGUGAAGAGAGGAGAGAAGAAGAGUGAGGUGGAAAGGUGAAGAGGAGGAAAGGAAGAAAGAGAAGGAAGAUGAGUGAAGAAAAGAGAGAUUGGAGAAAAAGUUAAGAGUAAGAAGAGUGACACAAUGAGAGUGAAGAAGAGCAGAGGUACAAUGGUUCUUUCCAAGAAACGGAAAAUGCCAUUUUAAUGGCAACAUGAGAGAAUUUCCGUUUAUACGCUCAGGUCAAGACGAUAGAAUGGUUCACAGAAACCUUUGUUAUUCCUCUUUUCCCAAUUGGCAGCGGGGGAAGAACGGCAGUGGUAGAACAUCAACAGACGAAAAAGCAUAAAGCCUCUCUGAUUGGCCGUGUUGGUUUGCCCUCUGUCACCACAUUCUUCAAGAAGGUAGAGCCUUCCCAAGAAGAAUAUGGUUUAGCUGUGCAGGAGGGUGUCUUUGCAUACCACACUAUGCAAUCAUAGUUACCGAUCUAUGGACUGCAUAGCACAACUGACACGGAAGCUUUAUGAGCCAAAGUUUACAUGUGCUAGGACAAAAUGUGACACCAUAGUGAGUCAAAUAUAUGAAUGCAGCACAUCUGUGGAAACAAAACAGUUUGAUUUUGUUGAAUUGAAAGGAGAAACAGCAGAGGAAAUUGCAUCCGAGGUCCUGGCGGUCAUCUAAAAAUGUAACCUGGAAAACAAAGUCGUGGCAUUCUCUGCCGACAACACAAAUACCAACUUUGGAGGACUGAAUAGGCUGGGGAGGGUUAAUGUCCAUACCAAAGUUUAAAAGGCUCUGCAGCGGGAGGUGAUUGGCUUAGGUUGUCCUGCCCACAUCAUUCAUAACACGGUCAGAACAGCUUUGGAUAUGAUUCCCCUUGAUGUUGAUUACCUGCUCACAAAGAUAUUUUCACAUUUUCACCGUCAGAGUAGAAAGACUGAAGAGCUUUUGUGAGUUUGUUGGCCAGGAGUACCAUAACAUUUUAGGACACUGCGAUGUUCGCUGGCUGUCCAUGCUCCCUGCUCUAGAAAGGGUGCUGAAAAUAUAUGUGCCAUUUGAAAUCCUUUUUUCUUUAUGAAGACACAUGCCCUGUUGUCCUGUGAACAAUGUUUGAAGGUCAAUUGGCUGGCCUUUGUCCAUGGAAACCUGACCUUAUUCAGUGACAUGAUCAAGAUGCUUAAAGGCCAGGACCGCUGUGCUGUGGAGUCAACUGCAAUUCUGAGAAACGUUGAGGCAAAAUUGACUGCAAGACAUGAUGACAACUUCAUUCCAGUUUUGGUCAGAGGACUUCUGAGAGAGCUAGAGGAAAAUGGAGACAUGUCCAAAGAGAGCUUUCUUGAAAAAUCCCAAUCAUUCUUCACUACGGGUGUGAAUUACUUGCAAGCAUGGGGAAAGCACACAAAUAAUCUUAAAAUAUUUAUUUGGUCUCCUUUUUAAAAGGCAACCUCAGCGUGAAGAGAUCCAGAAGGCAGCAGCCACACUGCAGGAAAAAUGCCCCAAUGUGACCAUCGAUUAGGAUGCAUUGUUUGACGAGGUUACUGGCCUGCAAGAGUUCCUAAAGGUGGGAUCACUUAAAGAAUGGAAAACAUCUGAGACAACGCUUAGUCAGAUAUGGAGCAUGGUGGUUACACACUUCAAAGAGAACAACAUCCCACACACUAACCUGGCUAAAUUAGCGUCUGUUGUCAUGUGCUUACCUGGAAGUAAUGCACCAGUCGAGAGAGUGUUCUCCCAAAUUAAUGAUAUAUGGACAGCAGCAAGAAAUAGGUUCACUGUUCCGACCAUCAAGGCCGUGCUUAUUGUGAAGACAAACUUCAUCCUCCCCUGCCAGGAGUUCAUGGAGAAGCUGGCCAAAGACAGACCAAUCCUGAAGAAAAUACAUUCUUCUGAAAAAUAUACAGAUUAGGUUGGUAUAGGUAUGUUAUGUAGUUACCAAUCUCAUCAGCAUCUUAUUUCUUUAUUAUAAGUAUUUCACAUAUACUAUUGUCUGUUGUUUCAAUUUUGCUCAUGUUCUCUUCUGUUCUUAUUCUACCCAGACUACCAGGACCACUGAAUGGCUGUUCAGAUCAGACAGUUCUGUCUUGUCUGUAGUGUUUCUGUAAUAUAGUUGUUUUCUCUGUCUACCACAGUGGCUGUUAGAUUAAAUAAAUGAAACCGGAAUUGUC
Molecule: long non-coding RNA, 2594 nt
Organism: Oncorhynchus gorbuscha (pink salmon)
Lineage: Eukaryota; Metazoa; Chordata; Actinopteri; Salmoniformes; Salmonidae
Exons: 3
Source: RefSeq, a predicted model, not a curated record